AGUAGAUAUUUGAAUAAGCACCAAUAAAUAGAAACAACUCCCACCAUUAUCCAAAAUUGAAACAUUCUAGCCAUAUAAAUAUCAAAGUGGCAGCAACAUUAAAUUUACCUUGAAAUCAGGCGACUCAAAAUGCCAGCAAAGCCAGUCCCACUCAUCUUGCCUGUGUAUCAAAUCAGGCGGAAUUGUUUGUCUCCCAUACUUCUUAUAGUGCCUUGAAAAGUCCCCCUUCCAAUCUCGAUAUAUGGUACCCGCCUUAUCUUCAAGUCACGCCCACAUUCGUUUAUCCCCAAAGUCAAUUUUAAAAUACGGCUACAACACACACAAACAACUUCUCAUCAGAGUACAAAUUGAAAUAAUGAAGAAGCUAAACAGUCUGAAAAAUAAUGGAAAGGAUGACAAACAGAAAAUUGAUGUAUUGAAAGACUCUAAAGGCUCCAAAUAAUGGACAGGAAGAGACUACAAGCAUACACAACUACACAACUACACAAAAUCAAGAGUUAUGCAAAUCCUUCACAACUACCCAGGCAUACACAACAUACACAACUACACAAACAUACACAAACUGUACAAGCAUACACAACUUCAAAGGCCAACAAAAAAGAAUGAUUGCAGUUUUGCAAACAUACACAACUAUACAAACAUAAAGCAAAGAUCAGGAGUAAAUAGAAAAAAAGUUCAAGAGCAAACAUAUGAAAUUUAAACAGCUAGCUUAAAUUGUGUGCCAAUAUAUGAAACCACAGGGAACCUGAAUAUAUGAAACUUAAUGCCAAUACUUAUCAAAAUUGGCGUUGUUACUUCAAAAUUCAAGGUAGGGUACAAACAGCAAAGACAACAAAAUUCUUUCCUAAAUCUUCACAUAAUGAACACUAGAAAUCUAUGUGUUCAUCCUAUAACACAAACAACUCAUUCAUCCUAUAACACAUACAACUCAUUCACCUAUAACACAUCAUCAUCAUCAUUACUAAACUGUAAAAGUGACACAUUCACUGUAAACUCUAAACCUGUAACACAUUUACUGUAAA
This 1022-nucleotide long non-coding RNA is filed under the name Fragaria vesca (wild strawberry). RNAcentral's name for it is "long non-coding RNA (FVES_LNC004086)". The record is from RNAcentral. Lineage: Eukaryota; Viridiplantae; Streptophyta; Magnoliopsida; Rosales; Rosaceae.